GAUGAACGCUAGCUACAGGCUUAACACAUGCAAGUCGAGGGGUAACAAGAGAAAAGCUUGCUUUUCUUGUUGACGACCGGCGCACGGGUGAGUAACGCGUAUCCAACCUGCCCAUAACUAGGGAAUAACCUUGCGACAGUAAGACUAAUACCCUAUAAUUUCCUUUGACGGCAUCUGACGAGGAAUAAAGAUUUAUCGGUUAUGGAUGGGGAUGCGUCUGAUUAGCUUGUUGGCGGGGUAACGGCCCACCAAGGCAACGAUCAGUAGGGGUUCUGAGAGGAAGGUCCCCCACAUUGGAACUGAGACACGGUCCAAACUCCUGCGGGAGGCAGCAGUGAGGAAUAUUGGUCAAUGGGCGGAAGCCUGAACCAGCCAAGUAGCGUGCAGGAUGACGGCCCUAUGGGUUGUAAACUGCUUUUAUACAGGAAUAAAGUUAGCCACGUGUGGUUAUUUGUAGGUACUGUAUGAAUAAGGACCGGCUAAUUCCGUGCCAGCAGCCGCCGUAA
This 506-nucleotide ribosomal RNA is filed under the name uncultured bacterium. RNAcentral describes it as "partial 16S ribosomal RNA". It matches the Rfam family "Bacterial small subunit ribosomal RNA", at positions 28 to 523 of the family's 1533-position model. The record is from RNAcentral.